UUUCAAGCCCAAAGCACUGACCUUCCAAGAGAGAGUGGUUAGAGUUAAGUUAUUCACCAGUGCUCAUAGCUAUGUAAUGAAGCGGCCCUGUACACCAUAGAGAGGGAAUUUAGAGAGCUUCUGUGUUGACUCUUCAGUGUUCCAUCGCAGACCCAUCAGCCUCCUGAUGCAGACUUCCACGGGACACUGCAUGAGCUCCAGCCCUGGGGUUGGACCCUUCAGGCUCCUGCAUGCAGACACCCUCUGCAGGUAUCUCAUCUGACUUUGAAGCUGACUAUGCACAGGCCGUGAAUGGCUCAAAGGAAGUUUUAUGGAGCAAAAUCACAAGGUGACACCAAUUAUCUUACCUCUGGGGAAGUACAAGGCUUAGUUGUUCCGUCUUAUAUGGAGGACUGACCUUCGACAGAUGCUCUUCCAGCCACAGCUGUAAUGUGCUGUCACCCUCUGCACUGACUCCCUCAAGGUCCGAGUCCUGUCUGGCUGCCUACAAUAUGUGUACCUGACUUAGCUGUCUCCAAUAAAACUACACAGUGCGGCCAGAGCUGAGGGCACAAGUGCCUGCCUUGCAAGCACAAGGUCCUGAGUCUGACUCCUGGUCCCAAAAAUAAGCAAAUAAAUAAAACUGCAUAGAAAAUGAUCAUUUUUAAAAUAAAAAACUUUUACUCAAGCCUCAAUAUUUAAAAUCCACAUGCUCACUCACAGGUGAUCCAUUGAGAAAUGCUUUUCUAAGCAAAGCGCCUGACUCCCCUUAGACAGCCCACGGUGUACACAUGGUCGUUUUGAUACAGGAGAAAUGCAGCUCCCAUCUUGCUGGCUGUUAGAUGUGCUAAGUUUGUGUUCCCUCAAUUCGAGGAAUAAAUCCCAAAGGACAAAGGAGUUUAAGAGUAGCAAAGUUUAGAGGUGGGGAUUUAGUUCAGUGGCUCAAACCCUUGCCUGGUAAGCACAAAGUCAUGAAUUAGAUCCCUGGUUUAAAAAAAAAGAGCAUUAAAGCUUUCCUGGGGAGUAGGAAUGGCUCCUGAGAGACAGGAGGGUCCUCAAUGGGUUGCCCCCAAGGCCUUUUAUCAGGAGUAAUUUAUAUAGCAAAGCCACAAUGUGAGUUCAGUUAUAAUUCACCAAUAAGGGGCUGGGGAUUUAGCUCAGUGGCUUAAGUGCCUGCCUCGCCAGGGGGCGGUCAUGAGUUCGACCCCUUGUACAGAUAAAAAAAUAAAAAAUUUUUAAAAAUAUAUAAUUCACCAAUAAGAUUACAAGUAUAGUUACUUAGCUGCCGUUGAUCCAG
Cavia porcellus (domestic guinea pig) is the source of this 1276-nucleotide long non-coding RNA. RefSeq lists it as uncharacterized. The transcript has 4 exons. The record is from RefSeq and is a predicted model, not a curated record. NCBI's taxonomy places the organism in Eukaryota, Metazoa, Chordata, Mammalia, Rodentia, Caviidae.